Long non-coding RNA from Brassica napus (rape), 1144 nucleotides. RefSeq lists it as uncharacterized. NCBI's taxonomy places the organism in Eukaryota, Viridiplantae, Streptophyta, Magnoliopsida, Brassicales, Brassicaceae. The transcript is spliced from 3 exons. The record is from RefSeq and is a predicted model, not a curated record.
AUCGUGCAUGAUACGAGCCCAUAUGGUUCUAGCAUCCAAGGGGGAGUGUUAUGAACAAUGUGGAUUGCUAGUAACCAAAUGGCCAAACCGUGGCCCAUGGAGAGAGAGAGAGUCGGCGGCCCAAAGGGAGAGAGAGUGGCCGACUUUAGUCUUAGGAUAGUUUCCAUUUAUCUCUUCAUGUUUAUCUUUAAGAAGUUUUCCUUUUUCCUUUAUGAUAAUGAUUUGUACACUUUCCUUUUAUCUAUUCCUUGUAACCCCUAUAUAAGGGAACACUUUGAUUGAGUAAUACACAGAGAGAAAAACACACGAUUUCCCCUAUUGUUCACAGCAAUAGUCACAUUCUUCCCCACGACCAUUAGCCCUUUACAUACAUACAAGUAUUGUGUUUGAUUGGAUGGUAAAGAAUAAAAAAAGAAGGUAAAAUAUGAUUGGUGGAUAAAGAUGUGGCAAGGAUUGACUCAAACUAAUCUUAACCGUUGAUUGUAUCAUCCAUCUAAUGGACAUAAAUCAUAUGUGGCAAGGAUUGACUCAAACUAAUCUUAACCGUUGAUCGUUAUCCCUCUCUGCAACAGUCGAUGGCUUCACCUCGCUCACCGGGUUUCACCUCCUCACCACCACCACUGAACUGAGAAAAACAGCGAUAAAACAUGAAGGAUAAGUGGUAGUGUGACGGAGCAGACAGUAAAGAGGAGGACGGCGGCAGAGAGGAACCACCACCACCUUGAAAAAGUCUUAUGUGGAUGGUUUCUUCUGAAACAGCGGCGGAGAGAGGAGGCGUGAAGAACUCGAGGUGGCGAUGGAGUUAUGUAAAGAUUUAAGAAGAGGAAGAGAGAGAAGAAGAAGAAGAAGAAGAGGAGGAGAUGUGAACGGAGUGGAAGGAGACGAGGCACAGACAUAACCGGACUGGAAAGAGGCGACGAGGAGAUGUGACCGGAGUUGAAGGAGACGAAGCAGACACCUGACCGGAGUGGAACGAGACGAGGCGGAGACCUGGCCAAAGUUACCCCGGUGGUGGUUCGCCGCUUCGCCGCUGUCAUCAAAGUCACGCCGGUGGUGGUUUUGUAUAAUAUUUGUAUAUACACAUGUAUUUAGAUUUGUAUUUGUACGUAUAUUUUUAGUUUAAUAAAAUUUAUAUUUAAAAUGA